AGAGCAGUUGUGAUCUUAGAUCUU
RNAcentral lists this non-coding RNA (24 nucleotides) under Arabidopsis thaliana (thale cress). Lineage: Eukaryota; Viridiplantae; Streptophyta; Magnoliopsida; Brassicales; Brassicaceae. The record is from RNAcentral.